This 75-nucleotide transfer RNA is filed under the name Candidatus Nitrosopumilus sp. RNAcentral describes it as "Nitrosopumilus sp. tRNA-Gly". It matches the Rfam family "tRNA". Rfam says of the family: Transfer RNA (tRNA) molecules are approximately 80 nucleotides in length. Their secondary structure includes four short double-helical elements and three loops (D, anti-codon, and T loops). Further hydrogen bonds mediate the characteristic L-shaped molecular structure. tRNAs have two regions of fundamental functional importance: the anti-codon, which is responsible for specific mRNA codon recognition, and the 3' end, to which the tRNAs corresponding amino acid is attached (by aminoacyl-tRNA synthetases). tRNAs cope with the degeneracy of the genetic code in two manners: having more than one tRNA (with a specific anti-codon) for a particular amino acid; and 'wobble' base-pairing, i.e. permitting non-standard base-pairing at the 3rd anti-codon position. Lineage: Archaea; Thermoproteati; Nitrososphaerota; Nitrososphaeria; Nitrosopumilales; Nitrosopumilaceae. The record is from RNAcentral. RNAcentral also lists the same sequence under 3 other names.
GCGGUUGUCGUCCAGCCUGGUCUAGGACUUCGGCUUUCCAAGCCGGCAACUCGGGUUCAAAUCCCGGCGACCGCA